Molecule: transfer RNA, 66 nt
Filed under: Acanthobothrium sp. MZUSP 8033
Lineage: Eukaryota; Metazoa; Platyhelminthes; Cestoda; Tetraphyllidea; Onchobothriidae
Also listed under: 2 other names
Description: tRNA-Pro
Source: RNAcentral
CUUACUUUAGUUUAAAGAGAACAAAGGUUUUGGGGAUCUUAGGCCUCCUUUUAAGGAGAAGUUUGG